GGAAUCUUGCGCAAUGGGCGAAAGCCUGACGCAGCCAUGCCGCGUGAAUGAUGAAGGUCUUAGGAUUGUAAAAUUCUUUCAGUAGGGACGAUAAUGACGGUACCUACAGAAGAAGCCCCGGCUAACUUCGUGCCAGCAGCCGCGGUAAUACGAAGGGGGCUAGCGUUGCUCGGAAUUACUGGGCGUAAAGGGAGCGUAGGCGGACAUUUAAGUCAGGGGUGAAAUCCCAGAGCUCAACUCUGGAACUGCCUUUGAUACUGGGUGUCUUGAGUGUGAUAGAGGUAUGUGGAACUCCGAGUGUAGAGGUGAAAUUCGUAGAUAUUCGGAAGAACACCAGUGGCGAAGGCGACAUACUGGAUCAUUACUGACGCUGAGGCUCGAAAGCGUGGGGAGCAAACAGGAUUAGAUACCCGAG
RNAcentral lists this ribosomal RNA (415 nucleotides) under uncultured Brevundimonas sp. RNAcentral's name for it is "bacterial SSU rRNA". It matches the Rfam family "Bacterial small subunit ribosomal RNA", at positions 358 to 790 of the family's 1533-position model. Lineage: Bacteria; Pseudomonadati; Pseudomonadota; Alphaproteobacteria; Caulobacterales; Caulobacteraceae. The record is from RNAcentral.